CCUACGUGUGGCAGCAGUGAGGAAUAUUGGUCAAUGGACGAGAGUCUGAACCAGCCAAGUAGCGUGAAGGAUGACUGCCCUAUGGGUUGUAAGCUUCUUUUAUAUGGGAAUAAAACGUUCCACGUGUGGGAUUUUGUAUGUACCAUAUGAAUAAGGAUAGGCUAACUCCGUGCCAGCAGCCGCGGUAAUACGGAGGAUGCGAGCGUUAUACGGAUUUAUUGGGGUUAAAGGGAGCGUAGGUGGAGUGUUAAGUCAGUUGUGAAAGUUAGCGGCUCAACCGUAAAACUGCAGUUGAAACUGGCAGUCUUGAGUACAGUAGAGGUGAGCGGAAUUCGUGGUGUAGCGGUGAAAUGCGUAGAUAUCACGAGGAACUCCGAUGGCGAAGGCAGUUCACUGGACUGCAACUGACGCUGAGGCUCGAAAGUGUGGGGAGCAAACAGGAUUAGAUACCCUUGUAGUC
RNAcentral lists this ribosomal RNA (460 nucleotides) under uncultured bacterium. Its description in RNAcentral is "partial 16S ribosomal RNA". It matches the Rfam family "Bacterial small subunit ribosomal RNA", at positions 338 to 795 of the family's 1533-position model. The record is from RNAcentral.